GUUAGAGUAGUUUAUUUAAAAUUUUUAUUUUACACAUAAAGGAAGACUUUAAAGUCCUUUAAUA
Molecule: transfer RNA, 64 nt
Filed under: Thaparocleidus varicus
Lineage: Eukaryota; Metazoa; Platyhelminthes; Monogenea; Dactylogyridea; Ancylodiscoididae
Description: tRNA-Val
Source: RNAcentral